CACGUAGGAGGCAAACGUUAUCCGGAUUUAUUGGGCGUAAAGCGCGUGUAGGUGGUUCUGUAAGUAGGGCGUGAAAGCUCCUGGCUCAACCGGGAGAGGCCGUUCUAUACUGCAGAGCUAGAGGAUGGUAGAGGGAGGUGGAAUUCCAGGUGUAGCGGUGGAAUGCGCAGAUAUCUGGAGGAACACCAGUGGCGAAGGCGGCCUCCUGGACCAUUCCUGACACUCAGACGCGAAAGCUAGGGUAGCAAACGGGAUUAGAUACCCGUGUAGU
Molecule: ribosomal RNA, 271 nt
Filed under: uncultured prokaryote
Description: partial 16S ribosomal RNA
Rfam family: Bacterial small subunit ribosomal RNA
Source: RNAcentral